AUUGAGUACUGCUAUUACAUUGAUUGUGGAGGUUUGGAAAAUAUUUCUGUCCUGCUUCAUUUCUACAGAUACAAGCUUUGAGUGACCCUUCAUUAACAGUGUGUGUGGAGGUGAGGGGUUGUGUCCUGGCAGAUUUGUGUCUCUCCUGCUGUGUCAUUGCCGCUUCAUAAACCUGAAGUGAGAUCUUUAUGUGCAAUGGGAGUCAGGGUUGCAGCCUGCCAGAGAUGAAAUGUUCCCCCUUAUUUUGCACCAGGGAGAACCUGUAGGUAGCUUGUCUCUGCCUUCAGACAUGAUUAUUCAUCGUGCUGCGACAUGGAGAGUUCUCUGGCAGGAGUCAGACGUUACCUCUGCAGGAAUGGGGACUGCUCGUGGGAACCAACAUCAGCACUCAGUGCCGUGGGGUGUACUCAAGUGAAGUUUUUACUUAUCAGAGUGAAGACCAGAGCCAAAAGAAAGUCAGGAGAAAACAAUAACAAAGCACUCACAUACAUGACAAUAGACAAGAUCUGUGCCUGGAAAUACCUUUUAUCUUCCCAUGGAGCUCUGUCUUAAUUAUUUCUGAAGAGAAAUAGUUUUAAAUUGAUCCAGGAGAACUUCACUAAUGAUAUAAUCAAACUUGCAUCUGUACUCUGUGCUUUGUGGCUGAACUAAUUUAAAUGCUAAAUGGGAAUCAAAGAAGUGACCAUUAUGCAUAUGAAGGAAUGAGUAGUUUUAAUCUUAUUUGCGUUGUGGGUUUUUGGAGCUAUUGAUUAAAGCGACCAACAGUCGAUAUUUGAUUCAGAGCAAAAUGCCAUAUCUUAUGACACAUAUCACAAGUCAGAUUCUUGCUAUAAUUUCUAACCUCAAUUUUAAAUACUGUCAGCAUCAUCUAGAAUUAGAAAAAAGAACAACUCAUCACCAUACCGAUUGAACAAAAAAAAAUGCCGCAUGAUUUAAAUACCUAUAGCUGCAUCAUUUACCCAGUUUUAUGCUUUCAUUUUGCUAAGCAUGAGGUUGAUGAUUAAAUUGAUGCAUAAUUAUUAGCAACACAGAGACUGUUGUCACAUCGCAUGGUUUUCUGACCAGGUGCAGGCUUCUCAGAUUCAGUCGGAGCCUGUCUGUCAGUUUCCUGAACAAUCCAGCAAAAUAAGUGAUGAUUUCCUGUUAUCAUCACAGAAGCAGUUUUCAGCAGAUUGUCACAGUAAACCUCCUUUUCUGAAUAGUGUAAUGAACAUUCUGGUGUUUGCAAAAGCAUUUUUUUAUAUACACACAUGUAUAUAGUCUGAAUGUAAAAGCAUUAACAGUCUGAUCCUGGUAUCUGUCUCUCCAGCUCCUUAUCUGCAUCCUUUCAUUAAUAUCUGUCUAUUUUACUCAAAUGUCAAAGUCAAUCAAGCACUCUGUGGUCAUGCAAACAGAACAGAAGCACAGCCUGCUAAAUUAACCCAAUGUGAUGAGGACUUUCAAAGAUUAAAUUUCUUUGCUCUGCUCCUCCAAGAACACACUUCGGAGUUUAGAUGGCUGGUUCAUUAAGUAUGCACCCACAUCUUGAGCUUAUGCAGGACAAUGCAGGCUGUACACUGAAAGAGCAACCUUUUGCAUCAGCUAGAUCAGACUAAAUAGAUAUAUAGGGUAAGUAUACAAUCUAAAAAUAAAGAUAGUUCAGCAGGAAGAGAAACA
This is a long non-coding RNA of Phasianus colchicus (ring-necked pheasant), 1656 nucleotides long. NCBI's taxonomy places the organism in Eukaryota, Metazoa, Chordata, Aves, Galliformes, Phasianidae. The record is from Ensembl.